CAGAGACCCUCCACAUUGGAAAAGCACUGAAAUCUGGCGCCGGUUGGCUCCACAGUUUACAGAAAUAGUUUUGAUCCAUAGGCUAUACACUUAUCUUGUACAUUUCAACUUGUAGAGCUAGUGAACAAGAUAUUUGGACAUAUCAUCCGGUGAAGGAAAUGCUAGGCCUCCAUAAGGUAUCGCCCAUCUUCUCCACUUAUCCCCUGGGUAUUUAUACCUGUGUUUUCUGUCUGCUGCCAGGUCGUCUUGUUUGUUCAAGCCUUCCACAGUUUUGUUUCUCAGCUCCUGCCUUUUCCGGUUUUUAUUUUCUCGCCCUCCUGGUUUUGACGCACGCCUGCCUGACCACUCUGCCUGUCCCUGAGCCCGCCUACCGUCCUGUACCUUUGCCACUACUGUGGAUUAUCAACCCCUGCCUGCCUUGACCUGUCGUUUGCCUGCCCCUG
This 443-nucleotide long non-coding RNA is filed under the name Salmo salar (Atlantic salmon). Its description in RNAcentral is "lncRNA (ENSSSAG00000092322.1)". Lineage: Eukaryota; Metazoa; Chordata; Actinopteri; Salmoniformes; Salmonidae. The record is from RNAcentral.